Molecule: RNA transcript, 1389 nt
Organism: Panicum virgatum (switchgrass)
Lineage: Eukaryota; Viridiplantae; Streptophyta; Magnoliopsida; Poales; Poaceae
Exons: 6
Source: RefSeq, a predicted model, not a curated record
AAUAAUUUGGCUAUCUUCUUGAUAGAAUCUCUACUCUUUGUAUCCCUUGUGAUGGAUUCCUUUAUCUCCAAUAAGGCAAGGAGGAUUCUGUGAGUACCAAGCAGAUCAGCAGCCAUUCCUGAAAACACCAGUUUGGAAGAGUAUGAAGGCAGGUGACAAUCGAUAUUGGGUUGACACUGAAUCAAGAAUCAAGUCGUGACCUCUGGCAACCUCCAUAUGCUAGCAGAUAGCUGAAUUGGAGGAAGCUUGGUUAAGUCUAUCCUCAGCACCCAUUACUCAUUUCAGAGCCUUAACUACAGAACACCUCUGAGGAAGAAAAUUUGUGAGUAGCUGCCAGGCUCUCUCUCCUUGUGCUUAUGAAGCAAGCUUCAUACUUUUUUAGUAGAAACAGGAGAUGCCAUCUAAAACGGAAGAAAAGGUAGUAGUGCAAUGGCUGACAAGCUGUGUGUGAAGCUGAAGGGUAAGCCGGGUGCAAGGGCAGCAAUGCAAAAGCUGCGAAGUUGGAGAUCGUUGGCAGGACGUAUGCCGUGUCGCUAUUUGUUUAACAAACUCAAGGAAAGAUCAGGGAAGUGCAUCCAUCAACCAAUCGGAGAGGCAAAUCUGGUUGGUUUAAUGAAACAAGAAGCCAGCCUAAUAACAUGUGAAGCAGAUAUUCCACACAGGUUUUGCCGGGAUUGAAGAUAUCAAGGUUUUGGACUUGGCAACCUCUCUCUUGUGUGAUAGAUAAGCUAGGCCAUACAUAUCUUCACAUGUUGGUAGUUUGCAGUAGAGAUCUGAAGAUACCAGGGGCCCACAGCCAUGAUUUAUCCUAUGCUGUCCAUCCUCGUUACAAUCCCGACUCUGGGAUCUGCCCACAGCCUCAGAAAAGUAAAUUGGCGUUUAAGCAUCCAUUGUUCUUGGACGGCUGGAUCUCAAAGCCAGGAUCUUGCUAAUUCAUUCAUCCCACCGACACAGAUACACAUGGAAAUGACGCUAUUGCCUUCUCUGAUGCUACUGCACUGGCACUGGGGAUGGAAUCAAACGCAUGGAUCCCAAAUCAGGAGGACCAGGCAUCAGCAGCAGCCAAAUAAUGUGAUGCCGCCAUGUUUGCAUCUGCACUGGCCAUGGCCAGCACGAGCACCAUCAAACUGGCUGGCUGGCUGGCCGGCCGGCCGUGGCUCACAUGCACAUCAGCUGCUGGCCGCUAGCACCGGCCGGCCGGCCAAGGCAAUUUGCAAGCUCCACUCCAGUCAGAUCUAUAUCUACUUGCAGAUGCAGAUCAGGUUUGCUUGUCAGUGGAGAGCAGUUUUCGUGCGCUUUCUCGGUUCAAGUCCUUAUCUCUUUUUUUUUCUUUCUUUCCUCCUCUCAAGUGGAUUACAAGUAGUGGCAUGGUAAGCGAUUCCUUUUGUG